AAGGGUAUAGCUCAGUGGUAGAGUGUGAGCUUAGCAUGCAUGAAGCCCUGGGUUCAAUCCCCAGCACCUCCA
Camelus ferus (Wild Bactrian camel) is the source of this 72-nucleotide transfer RNA. It matches the Rfam family "tRNA". From Rfam's summary of the family: Transfer RNA (tRNA) molecules are approximately 80 nucleotides in length. Their secondary structure includes four short double-helical elements and three loops (D, anti-codon, and T loops). NCBI's taxonomy places the organism in Eukaryota, Metazoa, Chordata, Mammalia, Artiodactyla, Camelidae. The record is from Rfam.